This is a long non-coding RNA of Helicoverpa armigera (cotton bollworm), 5530 nucleotides long. RefSeq lists it as uncharacterized. The transcript has 2 exons. The record is from RefSeq and is a predicted model, not a curated record. Lineage: Eukaryota; Metazoa; Arthropoda; Insecta; Lepidoptera; Noctuidae.
CGCCCGCGCCGCCCCCCGAGCUGCUGCGCCCCGCGCACUCCACCAUCCUGCAGCGCCGACACAACACCGGCGCCCCUCGCCUACCGCCGAAGCCGGCCGCCAACAGCGCGGCGCGGACGUAGCAACGAAACAAGCACACUGCUACUCUGUAGAUAUACCACACAAACACUAUACAUAUACAAACAAACUAAUGUAUAAAUAUUCACACAGAAUUCACUGGAAAAAUCACUUCAAUUUCUGAACUAGGGUUUUUCUUUCUUGUAUAUGUUAAGAGGGGAAAAAUUUUGCCAAUUUUUGCGAAAUUUCUCCGCCGUCUACUUGGUGAAAUUUCGCUUUUAUAAAAUAAUAUUGUCGUCCGAUAAUCGUUCUAAUUGAUAACGAUUAUCGAACGAAUCGUCGUCCGGUAAUCGGCUACGGCGGCUGUUCUCAUGUAAGGAGAUCAGCCAGCUGCGCAGGACAUAUUGUCGUUUCGCGGACAUUUUAAAAAUGUUCGCACGCAAUGUGUUACUGUUUGCUAGAGCGAGGUGAAAUAUCGUCUUAACAAAUACAAGAAAAACUGGUCAAAGUUAAAAAAUACAAAAAAUGAAUCGUUUAGUUUACAGAUGGUCUAUUUUUGACAUCCAUAAUUUGUAGUGGUAUUUUGAGUCCAAUGCCACUUCAUAACUUAGUAGUUAUAUUAUAAUACUAUAGUUUUAUAAGUCUAUUUUAUAAAGCGGGCAACUCUAGCAAUGCCUACGGUGUUGUGUCCAUGGGGGCGAUAAUCCCAUGUACGUUUGCCCUUAUAAAAUAGAAAAAUAAAUUCACGUCAACAAUUGUCGUCUGUAAGCCAAACGAGUCGUUUCUUGUUUUAAUAUGACUGUCGAAUCUGCCGAAUGUAAUGCUGGUUCCACAUAUACCGAGAAUCCCCGUGAAUGAAAAUGUAGAUGGUUUUCGCGGGUGUUCUUGUGUAUCCAAGCCUGUAUUCCCGGGAAUUUUCAUGCCGAUUCCCGGGAAUCCGGGGUCUGGAGCCGCCGUAAUAUAUCGGCGGAUUUUAUGUCUAUAUUAUAGAAAAAACUUUGCUGUUUUUAUCCUUGGUCAAAUCUAUGCUGUGUGAAUAUUUAUCGACCUAUCUGAAUAGGUCUUGCCUAUGUAAACAUAUUGUACAUUGUAGACAUUCCAAAAACGACGUAUAUUUAAUAACGGUUAAACUUCGAUAAUUACUGCGACCACAUUACCCGGCCAAUCUUGAUACUAGCCUAGAAAGUGUGGCUAUUAUUAACUUUGCCCGGGCACUGUGGAGUUUACGUGUCGUUGAUAAUACAUAAAUAUUAUAUAAAAUGAAUGUACUCGCGUGUGAUUGCAGACAAACCCGGGUGCUUCCACUAUAUUCACGAUUAGUCAAUGCUUAUACAGUGUAAAUAAAUUAUAUAGGAAAUGGCUUUUAUUUUAAACAGUAACAAAAUAUAUUUACUCCGUAAGAGUGGGCAUUUAGCAAUCUUGAUAUGACUUAUUAUUUAAAAUUAAAAUUCGCCUAAAAAGCCUUGUAAAUACAAUAAUAAAAACUGUUUAAACAAUUGAAUUAUUAUUUUAAGCAGUAGUGCAAAAUACCUAUUUGUUUAAAAAGUCCUAUUAAGAUUGUUUGUAAAAAGUGCCUACUUAAACGGAGUAUAAUAAUUUCGCACAAAUCUUAUAUAUUUUACCAUAGAAAUAAUGUCUGCGAUCACACCAUAUAUAUAAAAAAACAAUAAUUUUAUAUGAAAAUAGGAAAUUAUUGCGUGCAGUGCCAACACAUAGUAAAAACAUAAUAUAAUAGGAAAUAUUAAAUAAGCAAACGAAACAUUUUGCUAAAUAUAUAUUAUGUAUACAUACUAGUAUAAUUUAUGUAUUGUAUUUAAUAAAUAAAUAUUCCGCUUCAUAAGUUGGAUAGGGUGUUAUUGAAAAUGGGCGUGGCUUAAACUUAAACAAAAUACUUUUAAAAGUUCUACAAAAAAUAAUAAUUUUGGUUUAGCAUCAAGAAUAAUGGUGUUAAGUGGUUUAUAACAAUAUAUUUUGAUAUUUACUGUCUAAACAAUUUAAAAAUUACAAUACAUUGAAAAGCGAUUUUCAUCCUACCACGCCUAAUUUUCAAAGCAUUUUAUUCACCUAUCUAUACUGAAAAAAAAACCCUAUUUGUAAGCGAAACCUCUCAAAUUGUGUUAAUGUAAGCAGCGUGAUGUUUCUCAAACAUUUAUAUACAUAUAUAUAUAAUACGAGUUUAUGAAUUAGCUCGCGAUAUGACGGUACGAUAAGUAGACUGCAUACCAUCGGUAAUUGACGAUUCCUUGCAGCUUCCACCACGAUCCACGAUAAACUGUAGGUCCCGGCUGUCAUUGAACAUCUUUGGCAGUCGUUACGGGUAGUCAGAAGCCAGUAAGUCUGACACCAGUCUAACCAAGGGGUAUUGUGUUGUCCAGAUAACUGGGUUGAGGAGGUCAGAUAGGCAGUCGCUUCUUGUAAAUAGUGGAAACUACUUCGCAAGUGAUAGAAGAGGGCUCUUAUCACUGCUACAGUAGUUUCUGAAACUAGUUUCUUUAGCUUUAUAAUAUUUCUAUAGAUUUCCUUCAUAGGGAACACCGGUACUCAGCUGCAUCCGGUUAGACUGGAAGCCGACCCCAACAUAGUUGGGAAAAGGCUAGGCUGAUGUUUCGAAGGCUACACGGAAGAUGCAAGCAGUCGUCAAUUGACGAUUACGUGCGUCAGGCCUAAUUGGCGAUACCGUCAAUAUUGCAUAUACCUCUUAUUUAUAAUAAAGUCAUUCUCUUAAUAAACUAAUUCUAAACUCUCUUUCUAUCAAGGUGAGGAAAAUUUGAUAGAAAGAGAGAGUGUGUUUAUUAAAUUAAUGACUUUGUUAUAUAAAUAAGAGGGCUUAUAUUUAAGCGUAAAUACACUGGAGUCGGAAUUGUUUUAUGUGAAAAGUACAAUUUUUGCCUAAAACUUAAAUAACCUUUAACCUUAAUGCCUUUAUAAAAUAUACUAACAUCCCAUCCGUUCCCAUAGUGUAAUUGGUUACCUCCCUUUUGGGAAGUCGGUUAAAUAUCAGGUACCAAGUACAUAAAAAUACUUUUUAAAUACAAAUUAAAUAAAUACAUUUUAACUUGUGUCUAACAUAUGUAAAAUGAUUCCAUCUCCAGCCAGCACGGAACUGAUAACUAUGACAACCUUGCAUUUAUGUGUACAUACUAAAUAUAUGCGUCGAGUGAUCGUGUGACACGGAACUGCUGCACCGAAGCCGGUGAAACGCAACCCAAUGCAUAGACCACGAAUUCCUUUAAAUAUUUUUUACAUCACCGGCAUCGGUUCAGCAGUUUCUAAAUAUAAUAUUAAUGACAAAUGCUCUUAGGUAUAAUUAUUAUUAUAUAUUGUUUAAAAAAACUGUUAAAUCAACAAUAAAUUCCUAAUGUGUUGCCAUAGUAAAAUAAUAUUUGAGAAUAUUAUUAUUAUACAAUGUUAUUAUUAGUGGAUAUUAUGUGAAAUUACCGGUCAAUGUGCGAUAGUAUUUUGCACUUUGACCGGUUAAUGUUGUUAAAAACCUUAUCUUCAGCAGCAGUGAUUAUUAUUAUUAAAUAUAAAUGAAAUAUAUAAACAGAAACAAUUGUAUAUUUAAAGAGAAAUGUAAAAUAAAUGACAAUGUUCUAGCGAAAUUGAAAUAUAAAGUGUACAGUUAGUUCGUAAGAGAGAUACAAUAAAUGUAUAUUAUUAUAUAUUAUAAUUAUGUAGAACGCAGAUUACCCGCUGUGUGGCUAAAGUUGAUAAUAGCCAAUGUAUUAUGGUGCUUACCAGUCGGAAUCUGAACUGUCAUCUUACCAAUUCAUAUUAUUUAUUUUCUUAAGUCUGACACCAGUCUUACCUAAGGGCCCCGGGCAAGGCUGGUGUCAGACUUGUUAUCAGACUAACUUUGCCUCCUAACAAUCUAAUACGCCUAGGCUAGGGUUGAGGAGGUCAGAUAGGCAGUCGCUUCUUGUAACUGGUUGGAACUACUCAGCAUGUGAUAGAAGAGGGCUCUUAUCACUGCUACAGUAGUUCCUGAGAUUAGACCGUUCAAACGUUCAAACUACUAUAGAUUUCUUCAUAAUAUAUAGAUUAUAUAUAGAAGACAAAAUUAUUAAUGAAGAAAUCUAUAUAUUUUCGAUAUAUUUGGUGACAGUUCAAUUCCAUACAACUUCCCAUUGUAAGCACAAGAUAGUCUUGUGCCUCGACCGGGAAGUGAACCCGCACCAACAAUACGGCUUGCUACCCAAGCUUGCAGUCCGAACUAGUAGUUCAUAUGUAAGCCCGCGUUUAUGAACGACUUUCGUUUUUUUUUUUUUUUUUGAAGUUUGUAGUGAUUUUUUUAUCAGAAAUUAGUUAAUGAAAUUCGUAUUGAGAACCUACUCCUUUUUUGGGAAGUCGGUUUAAAAUGGGCAGUAGAGAACUAUUUUGAAUCAAAUUCAAAACUAGAGAAGUUUUGAUAGAAUCAAAAUGGAUAGAUUUUCUAGUUUCACCCGCGUCCCGUGGGAACUACUUCGCAAGUGAUGACAGAGGGCUCUCUAUCGCUGGUGCAGUAGUUUCUGAGAUUGGUACGUUUGAACAAACAAACAAGCCAAACUCCUUUCUUUUUGGGACGUCGGUUGAAAAUCAGAAGAUAUCAAACUUUGUGUAAAUUGUUAACCAGCUCAAGCUUCUUGUUUCUUUUAUAGUGCCAAUAUUAAGUUUUAUUUUUUACAAUUUUAUAUACACACUACAGAUUAUAUAAUAUUUUCUUUAAGUCGUUCGGAAACGCGCGCCUUAGUUACAAAAAUGUCAAACAAAAAGUGUAAGAUAGAUAAAAUUUGUACAUAAUAUACAUAAAUACAUAUAUAUAUAUAAAUAUAUAGUAAACUAGUAGAUCGCAAAAGGGGUGGGAUUAAGACCACUGACGUAGUACAAAAAUAUAUAAAAUCAAAGCAAUUUCAACUUUAAUUAUAUAAAAAUAAAGUCCAAUUUUAAAACUGCGAUAUUUUAAAGCGAUUUCACUAAAAUAUGGAUUUGAAUAUAAUGAAGUAGGUACAAAUUAUAUUUAUGUAUAAGAUUUCAAUGUAUUUUAUGCUUAAAUAUUAACUAAAUCGCUUUAGAAUAGAGCUUGACGUGUGUAUUUACGAUAAGUAAAUACAAGACUUUAAAAAUUGUAACAAAAGCGAAACGCCUACUUAUAUUAUAAUUUCUUUUCAAUAGGGGAACAUGUUAUAUAUUACAACUUUAAAAGUAUAUAAAAACCGAGAACCUGCUUUUUUCGAAGUCGGUUAAAGAUUGAAUAUAUGAAAAUAAUAAUUCGCUUUUGCCACAACUUAAAAUAUUCACAAAAGCCCACCCCAGACCUAAAUACAAUAUAUAUAUAAAUAAUAAAAAGUAGAGUUUGUCGUUAUCUGGCCUAAAGCUAGGUAUAUAUAUAAAUAUAUAUAAAGUAUGCGAGACGCGCUAGCUCUAAGUGAUGACCACCUGUGAAUAUUAUUGUACAUAUUAUAUUAAAUGGAUAGCAAUUCAUAUAUACAGUUCA